This 945-nucleotide unclassified non-coding RNA is filed under the name Hevea brasiliensis (rubber tree). Lineage: Eukaryota; Viridiplantae; Streptophyta; Magnoliopsida; Malpighiales; Euphorbiaceae. The record is from RNAcentral.
UGCUAGAGAAAGUUCCAUUACCAAUUAUAAAAUAAAAACCACUUUAUAAUACAUAAUCUACCUUCAACAUUACACAAAAAUUGCAACACAUAUAGAAACAAGAAUAAAAUGGUUUCCAACUUAAUGGCAAACUGGUGUAGCAUGUCAAUUGAGUUAUAAACUAGGUGCUAAAAAAGGUUAUUGAUUGGAGUUCUUAGAUUCUGAUGUAAUUGCUUUUAACCACAAGGAGUUAGCUUCUUGUUACCAGCGCCACGAGGGUUGUCAUCUUUCCAGUCAUCCCAUGCUCGUGCCUUUUCUUGGGCGGCAUCAUCAUUAUCAUCUUCUUCGUCAUCUUCAUUUGGCCUUGUCUUGGGACCGUCAUUGUACCAUGAAGAAGUUGCUUCUUCCAUGAGCUUAACAUUCCUUUCUUGCCAUUCGUUCAUCAUAUUCAUCUCUGUUAGCCCAGCUUCUUCAAUGCUCAUCGUUGGUAAUCUAUAAUGAGGCUGAAAGACCUGGGCAGCUAUUCUUUGCCUUUCAGUUGUAGGGUUCAUACCAACAAGACUUGCUGGUCCAAAGAGUAAAGGCUGGUGUUUAUGGUCAUGCGCCUGUGAGACCUUGGCCCUCCCUUCUAUGACAUCUUGUGCAAAAGUGGCACAGGUGAUGGGGGCUGCGGGUUUUGUAUAUCGAGCUCGUGCAGCAGCAUCACGAUGCCAAGAUUCUACUUUUUGGGUGCGUUCGUCAAGUAUUAGCUGAGAAAAUUCUUUCUCCCCAUCCCGAAGCUGCUUCUCCCUGACAGCAGAUAGUAUUUCUUCCUCUUUCUUCAGCAUUUCAAGCAAAUCAAAGGCCUUACAAAGGGCCAGGGAAAUAGUUGUAAGCCAUGCCUCCCUUUCUUCUUCACCGUCAUCAUCAAACACGUCCUCUUCUCCAGCUGCAUUGUCAAGUCCUGUGGAAACUGGAGAAGAGGAC